CCGGGAAUCUUCCGCAAUGGGGGAAACCCUGACGGAGCGACGCCGCGUGAGGGAAGAAGCCCUUCGGGGUGUAAACCUCUUUUCUCGGGGAAGAAUACUGACGGUACCCGAGGAAGAAGCCCCGGCUAACUACGUGCCAGCAGCCGCGGUAAGACGUAGGGGGCGAGCGUUGUCCGGAUUUACUGGGCGUAAAGGGCGUGUAGGCGGCUUAGCAAGUCAGAUGUGGAAGC
Molecule: ribosomal RNA, 230 nt
Filed under: uncultured Dictyoglomus sp.
Lineage: Bacteria; Pseudomonadati; Dictyoglomota; Dictyoglomia; Dictyoglomales; Dictyoglomaceae
Description: partial 16S ribosomal RNA
Rfam family: Bacterial small subunit ribosomal RNA
Source: RNAcentral